UACGGAGGGUGCGAGCGUUGUCCGGAAUCAUUGGGCGUAAAGGGCGCGUAGGUGGCGGGACAAGCGUGCGGUGAAAGCCUGGGGCUCAACCCCGGGUCGGCCGUGCGAACUGUUUUGCUUGAGCACUGUAGAGGCAGGCGGAAUUCCGGGUGUAGCGGUGGAAUGCGUAGAGAUCCGGAAGAACACCGGUGGCGAAGGCGGCCUGCUGGGCAGUGGCUGACACUGAGGCGCGACAGCGUGGGGAGCAAACAGG
Molecule: ribosomal RNA, 253 nt
Filed under: uncultured bacterium
Lineage: Bacteria
Description: partial 16S ribosomal RNA
Rfam family: Bacterial small subunit ribosomal RNA
Source: RNAcentral